This 522-nucleotide ribosomal RNA is filed under the name Triticum aestivum (bread wheat). RNAcentral describes it as "partial small subunit ribosomal RNA". The record is from RNAcentral. Lineage: Eukaryota; Viridiplantae; Streptophyta; Magnoliopsida; Poales; Poaceae.
AUGCAAUCAGUUGUAGACAUUGUUGAAAGAGUACUAGGAGGAACGGCUGAGUCUUUGAGAUUGGAGGGUCUACAGGAUAAUGAUCUUUUCGCACUUCUGAACAAGCACGCGUUUUUUGGAGUGAAUCCUGAUGAUUAUAUGAACUUGCAAGAUAUUGGAAAGAAAAUCACUAAAAAGUUGAGUGGAAGCCCAUUAGCUGCAAAGGUAUUGGGCGGGCUGUUGAAUAACUCUAUGGAUAGUAUAUACUGGAACCGAAUGCUAAGAGAAAAUAUUUCUAGCAUUGAGCAUGGUAAUGAAGGUGUUAUGAAAGUUUUAAGAUUAAGUUAUCAUCAUCUUCCUCCACAUCUACAGGCUUGCUUCAGAUAUUGCAGCAUGUUCCAAGAAGAUUAUUGGUUCAGAAAAGCUGAUCUGGUACAGUUAUGGAUGGGCUCUGGACUGAUCCAGCAAUCUGCAGAUGAAGAUCAGAUACCAGAGGGUGUGGGUGAGCAUUAUUUGGGCAUUCUGACAAGGAAGUCUCUUUGA